GGCUCAGGCUGUGGAGUUUAAUAUCGGAGAACGUCUACACGAUACAACCUGAAAUUCUCACUCUUCACAGACAUCCUCGCAACGGGGAGAAAGGAAUGAGUGACAUGAGAACGGGGCCGGGCUCCUGUCGGAGUCCGUGACCUACAGCUGCAACUCAAGACUGCGGUUCUUCACAGCGGGGUGUUCUCGCCGAGCGGCCCAGCGCUUUCAACAUCGCCAGGGAAGACGUGCGCCUUCGGGCCGCGUGACCCAAUUCCUCGCCAGGCUUUCCUCCUGUUCCAUGGCUGUCUGUGAAGAGUAAGAAUCUCAGGUUGUAUACUGUAUGCAUUUUCUGAAAUAAAUUGAACUCAAUGUGCAGGGGAAAAAACACAAAUCGUGCAAACAGUAAAAAGCAAGCAGAUAACAUUCAGAACUGAAGUUCACGGAAGCGAACCCAGAGUCAUAAAGCCAAUUCAGUAGCCCACUGGUUGUGUAACGUACAUGACGGCUGUACAGUCCAUCCCACUGAGAGAGCCCCAGACCCGCAGCAAAAUCUUUUGGG
Mobula hypostoma (lesser devil ray) is the source of this 541-nucleotide long non-coding RNA. RefSeq lists it as uncharacterized. The transcript is spliced from 3 exons. The record is from RefSeq and is a predicted model, not a curated record. Lineage: Eukaryota; Metazoa; Chordata; Chondrichthyes; Myliobatiformes; Myliobatidae.